CUGGGCCUGAUCUGAUCCCCGGUGGUGUGCUGUGCUCCCGGACACACUGGAGCCGCUUUCCGACCGUGGGAGACAGCGGUUGCAUGGUGGUGACAACAGUGGAUGGGGUGCCCUGGGAAGUGAUCUUGGCACGACGCUUCUCGACUCCCUGGAAGCGCCGAAUCCUCCCUCCGUUCCAGCGGUGUUGAUGAACACAAGUAUAACUUCUUUACGGUGGCUCGAGGACAGUCAUGUCUGCGGAUGUCUGAUAGCGGACAACCGCACGCCCUCAUUGUGAGAGAGCCGGCAUGGAAACGCAGCGGGAGCCCCACCCCUGUCAAAGAGGGCCCCAGUGAGAAGAGAAGACAAUGGACCCCAGACCCAGGGACACGCCACCUGCCCCAGACAUGAGCAGUCUGAUAUGGGUCACAUUUAAAAAAUAAUGUGAACUGCCAAUCAAAAAAAUCUGAUCUGGGCAAUAAAUCGGAAUUGAGCGUA
Long non-coding RNA from Micropterus dolomieu (smallmouth bass), 477 nucleotides. RefSeq lists it as uncharacterized. NCBI's taxonomy places the organism in Eukaryota, Metazoa, Chordata, Actinopteri, Centrarchiformes, Centrarchidae. The record is from RefSeq and is a predicted model, not a curated record. The transcript has 2 exons.